AUAUGUUGGUUUAAUUAAAGGCUAAUGGUCAAGGUAUGUAUGUAAAUAUGUUUAUUGAAUUUCCGUUUAAAGCUAUUGUGAAAAUGAUAAAGUUCAAGAUCUUGGAUUAUGAAUUGGGUUUUAUGGCUUGACCCAAUAUUAAUACUCUGAAUAAUAAAUUUAUUUAUUUAUUUUCAUUUCUUUACCUACUUUUAAUUCUAAAAUUGACGUUUGAUCCUUGCACAGAAGUUUCUUGGAUAAGGCAUAUCCGGCCCAAAGGCGCAUGAGGCCCCUCAUAAAAAGAUGGGCUUCCUUUGCAAGCCGACAUAACUAAUAGGCCUAUCUUUCCUAUGAAUUGCAAGUUGAUUUUAGCUCAGUAUUAUCACACAUUGAAAAAGGUACCAACAUGUGGGAGGUCUUGGUUCGUUAUUCUGAUUUUUCUUUUCCUUAUAAAGUUUUUUUUUUAUUCAAAUUAAUUUUUUUUUUCUCAUAUAAUUCCUCUCAAACCUUUACUAAUAAGUGAAGAAUGAGAUUGGAGGUUUUGAAUAGAGGGUUUUCAUAGCCAGAGUUCUGAUAUAUAUAUAUAUAUAUUUAAUUUAAAUAUAUCAAACGCAAAUAAUAAUACCAAAAAAAUUGUAGGAAUUGUUGAUUUAG
This 633-nucleotide long non-coding RNA is filed under the name Prunus persica (peach). Its description in RNAcentral is "long non-coding RNA (PPER_LNC005419)". Lineage: Eukaryota; Viridiplantae; Streptophyta; Magnoliopsida; Rosales; Rosaceae. The record is from RNAcentral.